Molecule: non-coding RNA, 689 nt
Filed under: Yersinia enterocolitica
Lineage: Bacteria; Pseudomonadati; Pseudomonadota; Gammaproteobacteria; Enterobacterales; Yersiniaceae
Also listed under: 5 other names
Description: partial 23S ribosomal RNA
Rfam family: Bacterial large subunit ribosomal RNA
Source: RNAcentral
GGGGUGAGGACAGUGUCUGGUGGGUAGUUUGACUGGGGCGGUCUCCUCCCAAAGAGUAACGGAGGAGCACGAAGGUUAGCUAAUCACGGUCGGACAUCGUGAGGUUAGUGCAAAGGCAUAAGCUAGCUUGACUGCGAGAGUGACGGCUCGAGCAGGUACGAAAGUAGGUCUUAGUGAUCCGGUGGUUCUGAAUGGAAGGGCCAUCGCUCAACGGAUAAAAGGUACUCCGGGGAUAACAGGCUGAUACCGCCCAAGAGUUCAUAUCGACGGCGGUGUUUGGCACCUCGAUGUCGGCUCAUCACAUCCUGGGGCUGAAGUAGGUCCCAAGGGUAUGGCUGUUCGCCAUUUAAAGUGGUACGCGAGCUGGGUUUAGAACGUCGUGAGACAGUUCGGUCCCUAUCUGCCGUGGGCGUUGGAAGAUUGAGAGGGGCUGCUCCUAGUACGAGAGGACCGGAGUGGACGAAUCACUGGUGUUCGGGUUGUCAUGCCAAUGGCAUUGCCCGGUAGCUAAAUUCGGAAGAGAUAACCGCUGAAAGCAUCUAAGCGGGAAACUUGCCUCGAGAUGAGUCUUCCCUGGGGCUUUAAGCCCCCUGAAGGAACGUUAAAGACUAUGACGUUGAUAGGCUGGGUGUGUAAGUGCAGCGAUGCAUUGAGCUAACCAGUACUAAUGAUCCGUGAGGCUUAACCUU